AUUGAACGCUGGCGGAAUGCUUUACACAUGCAAGUCGAGCGGCAGCGCGGCCUUCGGGCUGGCGGCGAGCGGCGAACGGGUGAAUAAUGCAUCGGAACAUGCCCAGUCGUGGGGGAUAACACUUCGAAAGAAGUGCUAAUACCGCAUACGUCCUGAGGGGGAAAGCGGGGGAUCGCAAGACCUCGCGCGAUUGGAGUGGCCGAUGUCAGAUUAGCUAGUUGGUGGGGUAAAGGCCUACCAAGGCGACGAUCUGUAGCUGGUCUGAGAGGAUGAUCAGCCACACUGGGACUGAGACACGGCCCAGACUCCUACGGGAGGCAGCAGUGGGGAAUUUUGGACAAUGGGGGCAACCCUGAUCCAGCCAUUCCGCGUGAGUGAAGAAGGCCUUCGGGUUGUAAAGCUCUUUCGGCAGGAACGAAACGGUGGGCUCUAACAUAGUCCGCUAAUGACGGUACCUGAAGAAGAAGCACCGGCUAACUACGUG
This 484-nucleotide ribosomal RNA is filed under the name uncultured bacterium. RNAcentral's name for it is "partial 16S ribosomal RNA". It matches the Rfam family "Bacterial small subunit ribosomal RNA", at positions 30 to 507 of the family's 1533-position model. The record is from RNAcentral.